UACGAAGGGGGCUAGCGUUGCUCGGAAUCACUGGGCGUAAAGGGUGCGUAGGCGGGUCUUUAAGUCAGGGGUGAAAUCCUGGAGCUCAACUCCAGAACUGCCUUUGAUACUGAGGAUCUUGAGUACGGGAGAGGUGAGUGGAACUGCGAGUGUAGAGGUGAAAUUCGUAGAUAUCGUUUGGAACGCCAAUGGUGAAAACAGGUAGCUGGGAGUGUGCCGACGCUGAGACACGAAAGCCAGGGGAGCGAACGGG
This 253-nucleotide ribosomal RNA is filed under the name uncultured bacterium. Its description in RNAcentral is "partial 16S ribosomal RNA". It matches the Rfam family "Bacterial small subunit ribosomal RNA", at positions 524 to 776 of the family's 1533-position model. The record is from RNAcentral.